Jaculus jaculus (lesser Egyptian jerboa) is the source of this 107-nucleotide small nuclear RNA. NCBI's taxonomy places the organism in Eukaryota, Metazoa, Chordata, Mammalia, Rodentia, Dipodidae. The record is from Ensembl.
GGGCUCGCUUUGGCAGCACAUCUACUAAAAUUGGAAUGAUAUGGAGAAGAUUUGCAUAACCCUUGCACAAGGAUGACACGCAAAUUCGUGAAGCACUCCAUAUAUGU